Molecule: transfer RNA, 72 nt
Filed under: Phrynocephalus strauchi
Lineage: Eukaryota; Metazoa; Chordata; Lepidosauria; Squamata; Agamidae
Description: tRNA-Asn
Source: RNAcentral
UAAACUGAUGCCUGUCGGUUUGGGUAAAUAGCUGUUAACUAUUUUUUGUGGGAUCGAGGCCCGCCGGUUUUA